Non-coding RNA from Malus domestica (apple), 613 nucleotides. Lineage: Eukaryota; Viridiplantae; Streptophyta; Magnoliopsida; Rosales; Rosaceae. The record is from RefSeq and is a predicted model, not a curated record.
AGAUGGACCUUGGGCAUUGGGCUCUAAUAAUUAAAUUAUUUAAUUAAUUAUUUUUCGGAUUUACUUAAUUAUUUUUUAAUUAAAUUCGAAUUUAAUUAAUUUUUUUUUUUAUGAAAAGACUCAUCAUUUCAGAUGAAGUCCGAGAGUUCUUUCUGAACACAGAGCAAAGCAUCUCUUUGAAGAGAUGUCUCCCAACAGUCACAUCUCAUUCUCAUACCUGUUGCAAACAGGCAUCCAUCUGCUAUAUAUACAUCUAUCUGCAUAGCAUUUAAAACACAAAAAAAUAAUCAUCUUCAUCUUGUACACUCCUAAACCUUCUUACUGAGAGAACCACACUAAAUUCGCCAUAAGUUAAAUUUUUAGGUGCUGGAAUUUUAACUUGAUCGUUGAAUCCUGGUGAAGCAGACGUCCGUAGAACUACAAGCACAGAGUAGGGACGAAAUUUCUGUUUCAAGGACAUUGCGAUUGUUGACUUAUAUCCAACACACAUUGGAGGAAGUGCUUGAAUUCAACCAUGUGAUUUAUGGCAGAUUUUUGUACACAACUGGGUUUAUAAUUUUUUUUUUUUGGAAGGACUGGGUUUAUAAUUUAUAUAUGCAAUCAGUUUAUUUUU